This 447-nucleotide ribosomal RNA is filed under the name uncultured bacterium. Its description in RNAcentral is "partial 16S ribosomal RNA". It matches the Rfam family "Bacterial small subunit ribosomal RNA", at positions 29 to 523 of the family's 1533-position model. The record is from RNAcentral.
AACGGACGCUGGCGGCAGGCUUAACACAUGCAAGUCGAGCGCCCCGCAAGGGGAGCGGCAGACGGGUGAGUAACGCGUGGGAAUCUACCUUUUGCUACGGAAUAACGCAGGGAAACUUGUGCUAAUACCGUAUGUGCCCUUCGGGGGAAAGAUUUAUCGGCAAAGGAUGAGCCCGCGUUGGAUUAGCUAGUUGGUGGGGUAAAGGCCUACCAAGGCGACGAUCCAUAGCUGGUCUGAGAGGAUGAUCAGCCACAUUGGGACUGAGACACGGCCCAAACUCCUACGGGAGGCAGCAGUGGGGAAUAUUGGACAAUGGGCGCAAGCCUGAUCCAGCCAUGCCGCGUGAGUGAUGAAGGCCUUAGGGUUGUAAAGCUCUUUCACCGGUGAAGAUAAUGACGGUAACCGGAGAAGAAGCCCCGGCUAACUUCGUGCCAGCCGCCGCGGUAA